This 372-nucleotide ribosomal RNA is filed under the name uncultured bacterium. RNAcentral's name for it is "bacterial SSU rRNA". It matches the Rfam family "Bacterial small subunit ribosomal RNA", at positions 28 to 402 of the family's 1533-position model. The record is from RNAcentral.
GACGAACGCUGGCGGCGUGCUUAACACAUGCAAGUCGAACGGAAAGGCCCUGCCUGCAGGGUACUCGAGUGGCGAACGGGUGAGUAACACGUGGGUGAUCUGCCCCUGCACUUCGGGAUAAGCCUGGGAAACUGGGUCUAAUACCGGAUAGGAGCCAUUUUUAGUGUGAUGGUUGGAAAGUUUUUCGGUGUAGGAUGAGCUCGCGGCCUAUCAGCUUGUUGGUGGGGUAAUGGCCUACCAAGGCGGCGACGGGUAGCCGGCCUGAGAGGGUGGACGGCCACAUUGGGACUGAGAUACGGCCCAGACUCCUACGGGAGGCAGCAGUGGGGAAUAUUGCACGAUGGGCGCAAGCCUGAUGCAGCGACGCCGCGU